Molecule: ribosomal RNA, 247 nt
Filed under: uncultured bacterium
Lineage: Bacteria
Description: partial 16S ribosomal RNA
Rfam family: Bacterial small subunit ribosomal RNA
Source: RNAcentral
UGGUGGCGACCGGCGCACGGGUGAGUAACGCGUAUGCAACCUGCCCGAUACCGGGGUAUAGCCCAUGGAAACGUGGAUUAACACCCCAUAGUACUUUUAUCCUGCCUGGGAUGGGAGUUAAAUGUUCAAGGUAUCGGAUGGGCAUGCGUCCUAUUAGUUAGUUGGCGGGGUAACAGCCCACCAAGACGAUGAUAGGUAGGGGUUCUGAGAGGAAGGUCCCCCACAUUGGAACUGAGACACGGUCCAA